RNAcentral lists this ribosomal RNA (301 nucleotides) under uncultured bacterium. RNAcentral describes it as "partial 16S ribosomal RNA". It matches the Rfam family "Bacterial small subunit ribosomal RNA", at positions 509 to 807 of the family's 1533-position model. The record is from RNAcentral.
CAGCAGCCGCGGGAAUACGUAGGGUGCGAGCGUUAAUCGGAAUUACUGGGCGUAAAGCGUGCGCAGGCGGUUUUGUAAGACAGGCGUGAAAUCCCCGGGCUCAACCUGGGAAUGGCGCUUGUGACUGCAAAGCUAGAGUGCGGCAGAGGGGGAUGGAAUUCCGCGUGUAGCAGUGAAAUGCGUAGAUAUGCGGAGGAACACCGAUGGCGAAGGCAAUCCCCUGGGCCUGCACUGACGCUCAUGCACGAAAGCGUGGGGAGCAAACAGGAUUAGAUACCCCAGUAGUCCCUGUCUCUUAUAC